AGGACGAACGCUGGCGGCGUGCUUAACACAUGCAAGUCGAACGAGAACAGAUGGGAGCUUGCUCCUGGCUGUUCGAGGUGGCGGACGGGUGAGUAACGCGUGAAUAAUCUGUCUCACACGAGGGGGAUAACGCAUCGAAAGAUGUGCUAAUACCGCGUAGGACCAUGAUGGGCAUCCCAUUGAGGUGAAAGGAGCAAUCCAGUGUGAGGUGAGUUCGCGUCUGAUUAGAUAGUUGGUGAGGUAACGGCCCACCAAGUCAACGAUCAGUAGCCGACCUGAGAGGGUGAUCGGCCACAUUGGGACUGAGACACGGCCCAGACUCCUACGGGAGGCAGCAGUGGGGAAUAUUGGGCAAUGGGCGAAAGCCCUGACCCAGCAACGCCGCGUGAAGGAAGAAGGUUUUCGGAUUGUAAACUUCUGUCCUAUGUGAAGAGGAGAAGACGGUAGCAUAGGAGGAAGCCCCGGCUAACUACGUGCCAGCCGCCGC
RNAcentral lists this ribosomal RNA (487 nucleotides) under uncultured bacterium. Its description in RNAcentral is "bacterial SSU rRNA". It matches the Rfam family "Bacterial small subunit ribosomal RNA", at positions 26 to 518 of the family's 1533-position model. The record is from RNAcentral.